RNAcentral lists this ribosomal RNA (669 nucleotides) under Triticum aestivum (bread wheat). Its description in RNAcentral is "partial small subunit ribosomal RNA". The record is from RNAcentral. Lineage: Eukaryota; Viridiplantae; Streptophyta; Magnoliopsida; Poales; Poaceae.
AUGCGGAAGGAGGAGGCAGCCAUGUCGGCAGCAACGGGGAAGCCGAUCCUGUACAGCAAAUGGUUCAGCUCCUGCUCGCACCGGGUUCGGAUCGCCCUUAACCUCAAAGGUGUGGAUUUCGAGUACAGAGCGACCAACCCGAUGACAGAUCCAGAUUAUGAGAAAAUCAAUCCUGUUAAAUUUGUCCCAGCAUUUGUGGAUGGGAAUUUUGUUGUUUCUGACUCGUUCGCCAUCAUUUUGUAUAUGGAAGACAAGUAUCCUCAGUGUCCUCUCUUACCCCGGGAUCUGAAAAAGAAAGCUCUUAAUUUGCAGAUUGCAAGCAUAGUGUGUUCAAGCAUCCAGCCUCUUCAGAGCCAUGCUGUCAUUGGUUCGUAUCUUGGCACAAUGGACACCAACGAGAGCCUUCAGAUGGUUCAACAUUAUAUUGACAAAGGCUUCAGAGCGAUUGAGAAACUUCUGGAAGGAUGUGACAGCAAAUAUGCCACCGGAGAUGAGGUCCAAAUGGCCGAUGUGUUUUUAGCGCCCCAGAUCCACGCUGGUGUGACACGCUUCCAAAUCGAUAUGUCAAAGUACCCUAUUCUGGCAAGGCUUCAAGAUACUUACAAUGAGCAUCCUGCAUUUCAAGCCGCACUUCCUGCAAACCAACCAGAUGCUCCUCCAUCCCAGUGA